This is a non-coding RNA of Halocaridina rubra (Hawaiian volcano shrimp), 82 nucleotides long. NCBI's taxonomy places the organism in Eukaryota, Metazoa, Arthropoda, Malacostraca, Decapoda, Atyidae. The record is from the annotation of a GenBank genome assembly.
UUUUGCCUUCUGUGGUGUAGUUGGUAGCGCGUUGAAUUAGUAUUUAUAAGUCCUAGGUUCAAGUCCUGGUCGCGAGUAAAAA